CGGACGGGUGAGUAACGCGUGGAUAACCUGCCUCACACUGGGGGAUAACAGUUAGAAAUGACUGCUAAUACCGCAUAAGCGCACAGUACCGCAUGGUACAGUGUGAAAAACUCCGGUGGUGUGAGAUGGAUCCGCGUCUGAUUAGCCAGUUGGCGGGGUAACGGCCCACCAAAGCGACGAUCAGUAGCCGACCUGAGAGGGUGACCGGCCACAUUGGGACUGAGACACGGCCCAA
This 235-nucleotide ribosomal RNA is filed under the name uncultured bacterium. RNAcentral describes it as "partial 16S ribosomal RNA". It matches the Rfam family "Bacterial small subunit ribosomal RNA", at positions 99 to 334 of the family's 1533-position model. The record is from RNAcentral.